AUGCGGGACAACCAGGGGGAGGCCACCCGCGCCAAGAUUGCCGGCGAAGAGACCACUGGGGAGGCUGUCGUCGCCGCUGGUGGAGGCCGUCAGCGCCGCCAGGGGCUGGAUCUAGGUGGGAGGAGGGUGAGGGAGCGAUGGGGAAGAGGAAAACGGCCCCGCCGCCACCAUCCCGGGGCCCGGCGCGGCUUCGCCGGCCGGCCCUCCGGCGGCAGCGACGCCGGGGUGGACGGGAGGUGGAGGGCUCGGCCGGCGGCGGCUAUGGUUCCCCCGAGUCGCCCGGCUCGGGCGACGCGAGGGACGGGGGUUCAUCAUUUGAAGCUUGCAAGAAGAUAUUUUAGGUUGUUUAUUAUUACUUGA
This 360-nucleotide ribosomal RNA is filed under the name Triticum aestivum (bread wheat). Its description in RNAcentral is "partial small subunit ribosomal RNA". Lineage: Eukaryota; Viridiplantae; Streptophyta; Magnoliopsida; Poales; Poaceae. The record is from RNAcentral.